CCAGACUCCUACGGGAGGCAGCAGUGGGGGAUAUUGCACAAUGGGGGGAACCCUGAUGCAGCGACGCCGCGUGGGUGAAGAAGCGCCUCGGCGCGUAAAGCCCUGUCAGCAGGGAAGAAAAUGACGGUACCCGAAUAAGAAGCACCGGCUAAAUACGUGCCAGCAGCCGCGGUAAUACGUAUGGUGCAAGCGUUAUCCGGAUUUACUGGGCGUAAAGGGAGCGCAGGCGGCGCGCCAAGUCUGAUGUGAAACCCCGGGGCUCAACCCCGGGCAUGCAUUGGAAACUGGCGGGCUGGAGUGCAGGAGGGGCAGGCGGAAUUCCUGGUGUAGCGGUGAAAUGCGUAGAUAUCAGGAGGAACACCGGUGGCGAAGGCGGCCUGCUGGACUGCAACUGACGUUGAGGCCCGAAAGCGUGGGGAGCAAACAGGAUUAGAUACCCUUGUA
RNAcentral lists this ribosomal RNA (444 nucleotides) under uncultured bacterium. Its description in RNAcentral is "partial 16S ribosomal RNA". It matches the Rfam family "Bacterial small subunit ribosomal RNA", at positions 331 to 792 of the family's 1533-position model. The record is from RNAcentral.